GUCGAGAAUCAUUCGCAAUGGGCGAAAGCCUGACGAUGCGACGCCGUGUGAACGAAGAAGGCCUUCGGGUCGUAAAGUUCUUUCGCUUGGGAGCAAGAGAGGUCAGCUAAUAACUGGCUAAUUUGAGUGUACCAGGUAAAGAAGCACCGGCUAACUCCGUGCCAGCAGCUGCGGUAAUACGGAGGGUGCAAGCAUUAAUCGGAUUUAUUGGGCGUAAAGGGCGCGUAGGCGGGAAGAUUAGUCAGAUGUGAAAGCCCAGGGCUCAACCCUGGAACAGCAUUUGAAACUGUCUUUCUAGAGGGUAGGCGGAGAAAACGGAAUUCCACGUGUAGCGGUGAAAUGCGUAGAUAUGUGGAAGAACACCGGUGGCGAAGGCGGUUUUCUAGCUUACUCCUGACGCUGAGGCGCGAAAGCAAGGGGAGCAAACAGGAUUAGAAACCCUGGUAGUCC
RNAcentral lists this ribosomal RNA (450 nucleotides) under uncultured bacterium. RNAcentral describes it as "bacterial SSU rRNA". It matches the Rfam family "Bacterial small subunit ribosomal RNA", at positions 354 to 796 of the family's 1533-position model. The record is from RNAcentral.